AUGUUGACGGUGACAGACGUUCAAAAGGUGUAUCAUCCAAACGUUGUUAUCUCCGUGAACACCCCUGAAGAUAUUAAGAAGAGCAGACAAGGGACCGCAGUCUGUUCUCUGACCGACUUCCAACCGGCGCACUUCACCGUGACCUGGCUGAAAAAUGGACAGCCGGUGAAUUCCGGCGUCCUCACCUCCCCUGCUUUUGACGUGAAUGGGAACUUCUCAGCGACAAGCCAGGUGACUUUCACGGCGACGGAAUGGUUCGCAGGCUCUGUCUAUACCUGCCAGGUUACGCACAAAAAUUACAUGCAAAGCCGAAAUAUCAGCGAAUUUCCAGAUAACUGCGACAAACUACAAGUAACAAUUGAACCACCACCAGUGGAGCAGGUGUUACUGGAGGUGAGCGUCACCUUAACCUGCGUCAUCACUAAUGCGCCUUACGGCGUCCAAGUGUCCUGGAGGCGAGGAGAGAAUGUGUUGAAAACAGAGACUGCCUACCAGCAAGGAGAUCCCCUCCAUAGCGUGAUCAGCCAACUGAAUAUUUCGACACAAGCUUGGCUGAGUGGGGACUUAUUCGAAUGCGUGGUUAGCCACGAGGAAAUGCCGACACCAAAAAAGGCUUACAUCCACAAGGAAAAACCUCCACAUCCUCAGGAACCAUCCGUCUCUGUCCUCCUUCCGCCAACAAGUGAAGAGUCCACAGAGAACACUGUCAUCCUCACCUGCUUAGUGAGAGGGUUCUCGCCUCGGGAGAUCUUCGUCACGUGGACGGUCCAUGACACGCGGGUGGAUUCACGUAACUACACGAAUACCGCAGUUGCGGAAGAGAACGGCAACAAUUCAUUCUUCAUGUACAGCCUGUUGUCUGUUCGUUCGGAACAAUGGUCCCGAGGUGCUUCUUUCUCCUGUGUUGUGGCACAUGAAACCCUCCCGAUGAAGAUCAUCUCAAGAACCGUUAAUCGGUCCGGUGAUAAACCCAGUUUUGUCAACGUAUCCCUUGUGCUGUUGGAUACUGUCGACUAUUGUCAGUGA
Molecule: non-coding RNA, 1026 nt
Organism: Mobula hypostoma (lesser devil ray)
Lineage: Eukaryota; Metazoa; Chordata; Chondrichthyes; Myliobatiformes; Myliobatidae
Source: the annotation of a RefSeq genome assembly